UGAAAUCCCCGGGCUUAACCUGGGAAUUGCGUUUGAAACUGCAGAACUAGAGUGCGGCAGAGGGAGGUGGAAUUCCAUGUGUAGCAGUGAAAUGCGUAGAGAUAUGGAAGAACAUCGAUGGCGAAGGCAACCUCCUGGGCUAGCACUGACGCUCAUGCACGAAAGCGUGGGGAGCAAACAGGAUUAGAUACCCUGGUAGUCCACGCCCUAAACUAUGUCAACUAGUUGUCGGGUCUUAUUGGGCUUGGUAACGUAGCUAACGCGUGAAGUUGACCGCCUGGGGAGUACGGUCGCAAGAUUAAAACUUAAAUGAAUUGGCGG
This 321-nucleotide ribosomal RNA is filed under the name uncultured Nitrosomonas sp. RNAcentral describes it as "bacterial SSU rRNA". It matches the Rfam family "Bacterial small subunit ribosomal RNA", at positions 595 to 916 of the family's 1533-position model. The record is from RNAcentral. Lineage: Bacteria; Pseudomonadati; Pseudomonadota; Betaproteobacteria; Nitrosomonadales; Nitrosomonadaceae.